This 902-nucleotide ribosomal RNA is filed under the name uncultured organism. RNAcentral's name for it is "bacterial SSU rRNA". It matches the Rfam family "Bacterial small subunit ribosomal RNA", at positions 1 to 917 of the family's 1533-position model. The record is from RNAcentral.
UGAUCCAGACUUUGAUUCUGGCUCAGGACGAACGCUGGCGGCGCGCCUAACACAUGCAAGUCGAACGAGAGAAGAAGAGCUUGCUUUUCUGAUCGAGUGGCGAACGGGUGAGUAACGCGUGAGGAACCUGCCUCAAAGAGGGGGACAACAGUUGGAAACGACUGCUAAUACCGCAUAAGCCCACGGCUCGGCAUCGAGCAGAGGGAAAAGGAGCAAUCCGCUUUGAGAUGGCCUCGCGUCCGAUUAGCUAGUUGGUGAGGUAAUGGCCCACCAAGGCGACGAUCGGUAGCCGGACUGAGAGGUUGAACGGCCACAUUGGGACUGAGACACGGCCCAGACUCCUACGGGAGGCAGCAGUGGGGAAUAUUGCACAAUGGGGGAAACCCUGAUGCAGCGACGCCGCGUGGAGGAAGAAGGUCUUCGGAUUGUAAACUCCUGUUGUUGAGGAAGAUAAUGACGGUACUCAACAAGGAAGUGACGGCUAACUACGUGCCAGCAGCCGCGGUAAAACGUAGGUCACAAGCGUUGUCCGGAAUUACUGGGUGUAAAGGGAGCGCAGGCGGGCGAUCAAGUUGGAAGUGAAAUCCAUGGGCUCAACCCAUGAACUGCUUUCAAAACUGAUUGUCUUGAGUAGUGCAGAGGUAGGCGGAAUUCCCGGUGUAGCGGUGGAAUGCGUAGAUAUCGGGAGGAACACCAGUGGCGAAGGCGGCCUACUGGGCACCAACUGACGCUGAGGCUCGAAAGUGUGGGUAGCAAACAGGAUUAGAUACCCUGGUAGUCCACACCGUAAACGAUGAUUACUAGGUGUUGGAGGAUUGACCCCUUCAGUGCCGCAGUUAACACAAUAAGUAAUCCACCUGGGGAGUACGACCGCAAGGUUGCAACUCAAAGGAAUUGACGGA